This 433-nucleotide ribosomal RNA is filed under the name uncultured bacterium. RNAcentral describes it as "partial 16S ribosomal RNA". It matches the Rfam family "Bacterial small subunit ribosomal RNA", at positions 29 to 507 of the family's 1533-position model. The record is from RNAcentral.
AACGAACGCUGGCGGCAUGCCUAACACAUGCAAGUCGAACGAGACCUUCGGUUCUAGUGGCGCACGGGUGCGUAACGCGUGGGAACCUGCCCUUAGGUUCGGAAUAACUCCCCGAAAGGGGUGCUAAUACCGGAUAAUGUCUUCGGACCAAAGAUUUAUCGCCUUUGGAUGGGCCCGCGUUGGAUUAGCUAGUUGGUAGGGUAAAAGCCUACCAAGGCGACGAUCCAUAGCUGGUCUGAGAGGAUGAUCAGCCACACUGGGACUGAGACACGGCCCAGACUCCUACGGGAGGCAGCAGUGGGGAAUAUUGGACAAUGGGCGAAAGCCUGAUCCAGCAAUGCCGCGCGAGUGAUGAAGGCCUUAGGGUUGUAAAGCUCUUUUACCCGGGAUGAUAAUGACAGUACCGGGAGAAUAAGCUCCGGCUAACUCCGUG